AGAAUGGUUCCCCCAGCGCCUGGGUGGAGUGGGGGGGGGGGAUGGGGAGUUCGUGUUUGAUGGGGACAGAAUUUCAGUUCAGAAAGAUGAAAAAGUUCUAGACACGGAAGGUGGUGACGACUGUACAAUCAUGGGAAUGUCCUUAAUGCCACUGAACUAAUACCCCUAAAAAUGGUUAACGUGAUCAAUUUGUGUGUAUUUUAUCACAAGAGAAAAUAUUUGUAUGUCUGACAUCACGUUCCACCCUCAUAACAUCCUUGAGGGAGGAACAGGGCUUUCUAAUCUCCAUUCUCUAAACCCAGGAAGGCAGGGCAGAGGGCUGUCGAUGAGAUCCAUUCCUUCCCCCUGGAAUCUGGACUCCAGGACCACCUCUCAUCACAUCGCCAAGUUCAACCAUCCUAUCCAAGGCUGUUCUCAGGCCUUCCCUGCCUCUGGCCCUUUGCUUGGAGGCACUGGAGGUAAGUCACCUCCACCGUUAAACUGCAGGGCAUUCGGCAGCUGUGGGAUGUCAGGAGAGGGUGAUUCGGGCCUGCCACCCCUCCUCCUUGUCGUCUUUGUUUCACAGCUGGUCACAGAUAUCAGCCUCUGCAGAUGUCCUGACCUGAUAGGAGUGCGCGCCCCCUGUUUUUAUCUCAGGUGACCAAGUUCCUCACAGUGGCCUGGAACCUUCAGGAGGGGCUUAGACCUCCUCAAAUUGCCACCCACCUCCUGGGUAGGUGGGUCCCUCUCCUCCACUCUCCUUUUUUGCCCUCUUUGGAGACCCUCCCUUCCUGGGCUUCACCCCUGGUCAGAUUUCUCCCACUUUCCAGGACAGCUCCUCAGAAUCCAUUCUGUUUCCUCCCUGGGGACACUAAAUCUCUCCUGAGGCAUCCCGGACCAAACCGCCCUCAGCUGAGCACUUCCUUUUUGUUUCAUUACCGUUAUCCUCUUUCACACCCUUUCCUCAACCCUCUGGAAGCUUCUUUGGCUGCAGACCUCUUCAUCAUGUGGCUGUUCUUUUGGAAGACAGGUGUGCCCUCCCAGGACUACUUGGGACUUUCCUUCAGAGCCCAAAAGGAAAAAGAGAGAACUUGAACGACACCAGGGCCCUAUCACCUCAGGUGCAAGGCGAUCCGACUUCUUCGGUGGCCUGGGGGACCGUGGAAGGGAAGGGAAGAGAGGACAGGGGCGUAGGGGACAGCCCCUGGCGGGCAGGCAGGCCAGACGGGUAUCGCUUCCCUCAGAAAGUGGGCUUCAGAGGGGGGCUCCGGAUUCCGGAGCAUGUGUGUACGUGUGUGUUGAGGGUGGGGUGUCUAGCCCCGGAGUGCGAGGAGGGUGGGGGCAGAGAAUCCUCCAGGCCAGGCCCCUGCGCCUCUUGGGUCCUAACCUCCACCCAGCGCCAACUUUUUGCUGCUCCCGUUAGAUGGCGCUCAAGACUUUUCUAACCACUUGUGAAAGUGAGCCUGGCCCGGAACAAAAAGCACCGCGGGGUGUGAGUGUGAGUGAUGGGGAGGGCGCGCGCGAGGCCGGGCACAGGCGCGGGCGUCGCCCCGGCACCACGCGGGGCCCCGCGUCGCGGGUCAGCCGGGCCCCGGGCGGAGCGCGCUUCUAGGAGGCCCCUCCGCAGGGCCGGCCGAGAACUUUCGCCACUUCCUUGCCCAAGUGGGAAACACUCGGGUUCGCUGCUGGGGCCCUGGCGGCGCUCCCCGGGAGCAGACGGGCGCCCGGCCGCGGCCUGGGGAAGCCGGCGCCCGCGGCCCCGGAACGCGGGUGACGGGUGCGCGGGGAGGGGGAGAGGGGCCGGGGCCGCGCCGCGAACUGGGGCGCAGACACCAGCGUGUCGUGACGCGCUCAUUACAACCCCUUCCUCUGUCCCGACUUACCGCCCCAGCUCUCUUUUUAAAAGAAGGGGGCAGGUGGUGGUUUUGUUGUUUUAACCGUUCAAAGGGAACUAUUCGGUGCAAGGUUUAAUAAACUUCGUGCGUGCGUGCGUCUCCAACAACCAAGGGCAAACUUUCUUGCUGCCCUUGAGCCCGAGCGGUGCCAUCUAACAGCCUCCUCUUGAAAUAAGCCCCUGGGUACCCUAGGGCGUAAGCUGCGAUCGCGAAUUUUAAAAUAACCCAUUAGGGACCCAGGUGGGAGCUUUGUCCCCACACACCAAGUGACUCUCUCCUUCCACGCCCUCCAAGAAGAGUGGCUCGACCAGAGGCGCUCCGGGCCACCGAUCCUCUCCUUAAUGCAGUCUGAGUGGGCACCGCGGCGGAGAGGGGAUGCGUCGCCCCAACCUCGAGAACACACGGGAGCCGACACCUUCCUUUGUGCCUCCCCUCGGCUCUGAACUUUGCCGCGCGGUCGGUUCUCCUUUAAGAAAGUAGCUAUCUCUGAAUAUGUAACGCCGGCGGCGGCCAGCCGGGCGGAGGAGAGCCCACCGGCCCGGGUCCCCGCGCGCGCCGCGGCCGGGGCGCACGGCGAGCGCGUCCACACACGCCGGUCCCGGCGAGAACCCGGGGCUGGGAGGGCGGGGGCUAACGGGAGCACAGGGCUAGGGAUCCUGAGCCGGGCGCGGGGUGAGCGGCCCGUCGCGUUCAUUUCCAUAAGAAAGCUGAAAUCGCGGUUGGAGGGAGGAUUUCUCGCCCUAACCGCCCUCCCCCUAUACCCGGUUUUCGGCAAGAAGCGGGCUCUGGAGCUCAGAGCCCUACGUGUGUGCGCUGGUCUUUGAUGGUAUUGAUAAAAUGUGGUUUCAGAUGUUGCCCCGACUGAGGCCGGUUUCCUGUCUGUUGUGCGGAGUGGAAGGACCGCGCGGGGACUCCAAAGCUGCUCGCGGUGAUCAAGCUGUUUCCAAAUUCUGCUACCUAAGAUGUUUACAGCACUCCACCCCAACGGAGGAGGUCAGAAGCUAGAGAGGAUGUUUUCAAAGAGUCCACCAGAGGAGUCUAUCAUCUAGGUCUGAAGGGACUUGCUUUCUCAGGAAACCUGGUGGGUGAGUCUGGUCAGAGGUGGAGGCAAGUUUCCUCAACUUACAACUUGCUUUGAAACUGACAUAGAAAGAGGGCAGCGAACGCUGUCACCCAGAGAGGGCCUCCACGGCCCUUUUCUCUCCUGGUGGACUCCUGAGACUCCCCCUAAGUGGCCCUUAGACAUUCAAGAUGUCAGGUAAGCUGGGAGGAGGAGUUUGAUCUGUCCCCUGCACCCAAGUAAAUACAAAUACAUUUUGCUCCUUGAAAAGAAAUGUCACCGCUUUAAACUUUCCCCAGCCAGAGAUCCAACUAGUUGCAUCAGGGUCUCUUGUCAGCAACCUUAACCCAUCCUGCCUCUUGUUUCCUUCUUUGUGGCCUAAGGUUGCAUUUUAGGGGGGUUUAUACAACGCUGCUCAUGUCAGCAAACCUCCCUGUCUCCAGCUUCACCCCAUCUCCCUGCCCGGAACUGUAGUCGGAAACCACAGACACACAAAUUCUCGUUAAAAUUUUCUGUUAUUCUUCCCGAUGGGAAGAGUUGACAAGACAUCGACAUUAAGUUGCAUAAAAUACAGUGGACUGAUCAGCCAGAAUGCAUCUCAUUUGCACUUGUACGGAGCCAGGGGUAGUGUCACUCCCUCCCUCCAGUUCUCUCUGCCAUGCUGGGCUGCCUGGCUGGAAUUUCCUAGCCGGCCCCACUCCAGAGGCCAUUGGUGAGGUCGGAGCCCCAGCCCAGCCCAGCUCAGGCCAGCCAGGGUUGGGGGGGAGGUGGGAGGGCAGAAGCCUCUGGAGGCCUGGCCUGAGGGUUGAGCCAACUUUGGCAGACCUUCCACUCUGGGCUGCCCCGGGGGGCUGUGAGGCCCUGCUGGGUGGGCGCAGGCGGCUGGAAGCCCCACAGUCUGCAGCUCUUCCGAGGGGCCCCCUCUGGGUUGAAUUAAAGAAAGAGGACACCAUGAAGGAGAGGGAUGGUCACUGAACACAGUUUGUACCCACUUCUACCCUUCUUCCCCAAUUUUGUUCUCAUCACCUCCUUUGUCGCCAGUGGAGGGGCACCGCGUCCUGAUGGGUUCUUCUCCCUACUCGUCCUCCUGACCUCAGAGCGUGAGGGCUUCUUCCUUUUCUCCCGCCUGGCCCAGCUGCCCUCCUGGGACCCAGAGUUCCCAGAAAAAAAAAAUGCCUUUCUCAUCAACUCUCAAAGGCCCCGGCAGCUGCAAGGGGGAGCCUCGGGAACCCAGUGGGGGCACCAGGGGGAAGUUUGGGGUCUCUACGCUGUUCUGCCUCACCACUCACAAUCACUCCCCUGCCGCUUUGGUCUCAACUUUCCCGAACCGGGUGCUGGGGCUUCAACUCCUAUCCACCAAUACCUACCCAGAGCAGGGGCGCCGGGUCACUGCCAAGGUUUGGUGGUGAAGGGAGGCCUGGGGGCAGCGGUGACAGAAGGGCCAGAGGGCAUGGGGGGCUCUGGGAACUUCAGCGGGGGUGGGGGGAGGACUCGAGUGCCCAAGCUUAGCCUCCUUGAAAGCCUCAAAAGCACGUCCCGGGGGCGUCUUUUCCAUGGUGUCCUGCUUGCUCUCCUUGCAAAGGCCAUGGUGACUCAGACAUCCGCCAAACCCAGGAGCUCCCCUUUUCUCCAGCGUUCUUCUUGUCCAGGAGGGAGGCGUGUGGACUGCUUCUGGGCCUCCACUGCCAGGCCUGAUCGCAGCCCAUGACCUUCGCGGAGGGGUGGGGGCGGGGGGGGAGCAACCAAGGGCCAGGGAUGUUGCCCAGCAAGACCGCGGCUUCACUGCGCCACCGGAGGAACAGCCACAGACGAGGCCCGGCGGACCCAGGCGCCGCCACCCAUCCAUGCCCGCGGCGGGCCUGCGGGAGCGCAGGGGCCGAGGCCGUGAAGCUGGGCAGCCAGCCUUGCACCAUUGACAGCCGGGGCACGUCUGCGGAGCCCGGGGGAACAAUCAACGGACUCUAUGUCCCGGGAGCUGGGCACACGCCUGUAAAGGUGUGUGAUAAUUUAAAGAUCCUUGGUACUACUUUUGCUUGAAUCCUUUGUUACAGCUUUGUCAGCUUGCGCGCCUUCGGCUGCUCCCUCUCCCCGGGCCCGCCCCCCACCCCAGGCCCCCUCCCCCC
Long non-coding RNA from Leopardus geoffroyi (Geoffroy's cat), 5057 nucleotides. RefSeq lists it as uncharacterized. The record is from RefSeq and is a predicted model, not a curated record. The transcript has 3 exons. Lineage: Eukaryota; Metazoa; Chordata; Mammalia; Carnivora; Felidae.